CAUCCCUGGGAUUCCCCUUCUCAGACUCCUCUGUAGGAUCAUUUCAACUUUAUACCAGGACUUCUUCUUUCUUGGUUUAUUUCUUCUUUUCAGUGGAGUACAUUUUCCAAAAGUUGUCAAGAAAAGUGAGCACAGGAGUGUUGGGCAAAGGUCUCAAGUGAGACAGAGAAGGCAGAAAUUCACCAGCAAAUCCAAACUGGGGAAAUCCCAGAGUUGAAGAGAAGCAACUUAAAGAAAGAAAACCUUACAAAAAGAAACACGCUUGGGGAUACUCGUUUGCUGGUAAAAUGAUCUGCAGAAAAUUCUGAGAUAAGGGGUGUUAAAAGUAAGACAAUGCAGGCAUAAUUUGAUCAGACUAACAACUUUCCCCUUGUCUAAUGGGAGCCAAAGAAUGAUGUUUUAAUGCCGAGCUUCUAGAUGAAAUAUGUAUUAGCAAACUAUUCUAGGCUUUUAUAUUCCUUUAUUUUUCUUUUCAAAAAUUCCCAUAACAAUAUUCUGGUAUGCAUGCCACAUGAGGAUACAUUUCGUGCCAAAACCAGUUUUGGAAAUCUGCAGAUGAAAAGAGGAAGGUAUGCUGCAGCUGAGAGCAGACACUUCUAAGGCAUCUUGCAAGGAUAUCUGAGAGCAACCUUCUGCCAGGAUUUGCCCUGCCCACAGGCGUUAGCAUGGAUGUGAAGACUGCAGUGCGGCUUUCACUUUCUCAAUUUUCCAGAGGUCAUACUCCUCAAACUCCAGAGGAAUAAGAUACGGAAUCUUGCUCUGUCGCCCGGGCUGGAGUGCAGCGGCCGGAUCUCAGCUCCCU
Molecule: long non-coding RNA, 802 nt
Organism: Piliocolobus tephrosceles (Ugandan red Colobus)
Lineage: Eukaryota; Metazoa; Chordata; Mammalia; Primates; Cercopithecidae
Exons: 4
Source: RefSeq, a predicted model, not a curated record